This is a long non-coding RNA of Brienomyrus brachyistius, 2791 nucleotides long. RefSeq lists it as uncharacterized. The record is from RefSeq and is a predicted model, not a curated record. Lineage: Eukaryota; Metazoa; Chordata; Actinopteri; Osteoglossiformes; Mormyridae. The transcript is spliced from 8 exons.
CCUCACCUGGCGUGGCUACAGCUUAACACGAGGGGGCCAUCUUUCAGGGGAGGGGGCAGCACAGCCCAGUUCUCCUGACCCCUGAAACACCAGGUUGACUACGAGCUCCGGCAGGUCAGCCUGUCUUUUCCGUGCCACUUGUACCAAUGUUUUGUCAGCAGAUGUUUUCAUUCACAGUGAAUUAAGGAGCUUUUAAAUAACUAACUAUCUAACUUUUUGUAUGGCUUGAUGGAGCCGAUUCAUUUAAUGGCCCAGGCUUCACCACCCAGAGUUCACAGCCCCACCAGGCAGGGGCUGCAAACGGACGGCAUCACAGGCCCCCACUUUAGCUAAAGACGGAGAGAACAACAUACACGCAAUAAACAAUUUUCUCAAAUUAUGCAGUAAAAGAUUCCAUUGUACUCUCUGCAAUAUGCCAUGAAUAAAGAAGACCAGAAUAAUGAAAAUGACUUUGCGGAUCAAAUGAGUGAACAGAAAGGGGUAAUAGUCAGUAAUGAAACAGAAGGACCACAGAGAGGAGACUUUAAAGCAGCCAAGCAGCAGAUGUACUCAGGACAAGAAGGCCCGCUCUGGACGUGACUGUUUGCUUAAUUCACGCUCUCUGCUACGUCUCGCCCAUUAGCAUGACACGCACAGUCACAGUGACUGUUCACUGCAUGUUUGUCUGCGCAUAGCAGCUGCGUGUUGAUUUAUGUUUUUGGCCAGCAGAAGGAUGAGAGCACAAGAGGCUUUUAGCAAGAAAAAGAAACCAAUAGAAACAGAGGGUUAAGGAUCCCAUUCAAGCAGGACCAUGGUCAGGACUGGAACCUACAACCUUCAGAGAGCCUGUGCCUACCCAGGUUCGGGAGCUGGGUCACACGGUGGUGAUUCUGGUGACAGUGAAGGGAAUGGUGGCCAGCCUGGAUGUUAGCGCCUCCUACAGGCCUGUAAGGGGAAUAGAAGUUGCUGCUGGGCCUGUUCUUCAGAGAGUACGCAGGAAGAAGGGCGCCCCUGCUGGCUGAAGGCGGGGUCACAUCCGGGCAGCAAUGCCACUGGUGACACUGGCAGGACGACUCAGGGAAGUGCAGGAGGCAGCAGGACGGAGACACGGAGACGUCUCCCUCGUGAAAUGUCACCACGUCACGGCGGAAUGGCGCACCUAGAACAGUGACCCGGAACGCCCCAUGGGACAGAAGAUGGGAGAUGAGGGACAGGAGAAGGCAGACAGGGGCCAGGAAAUGGGAACUUCAUCUGCACAUUGAGAUGUUGUGGCAUCGUCACUGUCUUGGAGGGGAGGGGGGGGCAUCCUUGCCCACGUCUGUGCUGCGGAUUGGGGAACGGACAGCCGCACUAAGCUAUUUGACAGUCCUUAAUGUGAAGACAAGAAGAUUCCCACAGGUGACACCGGGAAUUCAGAUCACGACUUCCUGCAGAGAAGCCAAGAGCCAAGCAUGUGUGGUCUGGCCCACGGCGUCCGUGGUGGGAAACAGGCUCUCGCCAAACUGGGCGGAGUAAUUAGCGCAACGGAAGGCGGCGGGGGACCAAAGAAUCCCCUGGCAUGUCGCGACGCUGCCCCACAGUGAGGAGGUCUUCGGGCCAGUCGACUCAAUGGAGUCCGCCUUCAUCCCAUGAUGGAUCACGCCGCACUUCGGCAAAUACUGCCAGCCACCCAGCCCAGCCAGCUCACUGUGUACUUAUCAGCCACACAGCUCAGAUAAUCUUUUUUUAUUUCCUCCUACACCAUUCUCUCCCUCCUAGUUUAUAACCCCUAACUUAUUGAACAUGGUGAUUAAUGUCUGCCUUUCUCUUUUCUUCCGUUCUGGCCUUUUCUUGUCCUUUGUUUCCUAUCCCAGACAGUACAUUUAUUUCAGGUACGCUUUGUGCUACCUCUAAGGAAUCUAAACAUGAGGGAAGUCAAUGUGGCCAGCAGGGGGCAUGGCGGUUAAUGGAGCAGUGCAAUCGCUGGAUGCUUUUGAUUCGUAUCUCAGGAGAGGCCACAGUGCACCAGCUGAAUUUCUCCAGGAAAUUAUAUAGCCCUAUUAAUGUGUGCAGUCAAAGGACAAUUUGAAUGAAAAAAAAAAAGCCAAAUCGCUGAAGGUGAAGUAAACCGGGAAAGAAUGACACACCAGGGAGGGUGAGAGAAAAACGAGGUCCAAACAGAACCAGGGGCCGUAAACAGAGCUGAACCACAGGGGCCUAAACAGAGGCACUAGAUGUUCCUCGCUGAAUUCUCGACAAAGUAAGGAUAUCAUGGCUAAACUGAGCCUGAACCCCCGAGAGAGGCAGGAAGGCAUUACUUAAAGGGACAGAUGGCCUCCCCUCUCUGAGGCGGAGAUCAGAAAUCGUGCACCACGCCUUUAAGGCAGCUGCCUCCAUGAUUACUCUUCCCUAACAGAAGAACAGGCCGGUCUGAACGGCGCGGCGUGUGAAAUUACCAGCCAGGUAGCGAUUUUAAACUCCUGACUUUGAUUAAGCAUGCCGUAUAAGGUUGGAGACAGUUGGUAAUUACUCGGGGAUGUGGCUUUAAAUUAUUCUGACUUAUCAGGGAAACUUUGCCUUUGCUCGCAGGGAGGGGGGGCUCCUUUUCCAGGGGAAGGGAGGCCCUGUCAGGAUGCAUUUGUACUCAUUUGCUAAUGCAUGUCAGUCUGUCACUUCCAUGGACUUGGGUGCCAGUUCCUAGCCCAGGCUGUCAGAAAUUGCACCAAGGGGCAUCAUGCACCCCCUCCCCCCACCCAGCUCCCUUUUCUCCAUGGCAGCAUCAUAACAAUGUCCCAGCUGUAGCUGGAAGGCUCUGAGAGGUACCUUGGCUACU